AUUGAACGCUGGCGGCAUGCUUUACACAUGCAAGUCGAACGGCAGCGCGGGCUUCGGCCUGGCGGCGAGUGGCGAACGGGUGAGUAAUACAUCGGAACGUGCCCAGUAGUGGGGGAUAGCUCGGCGAGAGCCGGAUUAAUACCGCAUACGACCUGAGGGUGAGAGCGGGGGAUCUUCGGACCUCGCGCUCUGGUAGCGGCCGAUGGCAGAUUGGCUAGUUGGUGGGGUAAAGGCCUACCAAGCCGACGAUCUGUAGCUGGUCUGAGAGGACGACCGGCCACACUGGGACUGAGACACGGCCCAGACUCCUACGGGAGGCAGCAGUGGGGAAUUUUGGACAGUAGGCGAAAGCCUGAUCCAGCAAGGCCGCGUGUGUGAUGAAGGCGUUCGGGUUGGAAAGCACUUUUGGCGGGAACGAAAAGGACUGUGCCAAUACCACGGUUCGGUGACGGUACCCGCAGAAUAAGCACCGGCUAACUACGUG
RNAcentral lists this ribosomal RNA (484 nucleotides) under uncultured bacterium. RNAcentral describes it as "partial 16S ribosomal RNA". It matches the Rfam family "Bacterial small subunit ribosomal RNA", at positions 28 to 507 of the family's 1533-position model. The record is from RNAcentral.